RNAcentral lists this long non-coding RNA (876 nucleotides) under Olea europaea subsp. europaea. Lineage: Eukaryota; Viridiplantae; Streptophyta; Magnoliopsida; Lamiales; Oleaceae. The record is from RNAcentral.
CGAUUACAAUUCAUUUAUCAAUAACAAAUUAUUAAAUUAAUUAUUCACAAAUUAUUUGUCAGUCACACCUUAAUAAAUUGUGAGUCAAAAAUCAUAUUUUUUAAUUCACAUUAUGUAUUGAUCACAAAUUAUUCAAAGUCUUGGUCAAAGACUGGUCACUGUCGCCAUUACUAUUGCCAUCGCAUGCACCAUAAUCAUUUGUGAUCACCGCCUCACCAUUGCCAACAAGGCCAGAUCCACCAGCACACCACCUUACCAGCGCCAUUGCCAACAAAAAACACCCCCCAUAACUAACGAAAUCCGACCACCUCUGCCAACAUCAACGACGCCGUCGCCACCAACCCCACCUGCUGAACCACCAUCUCUAAUGACACGAUCGCCUUCAUUACCUCAACACAACUAUUUGCAGUACCACGUUCACCACCACAAAAUCAUCAAAACAUGAAAACUAUUACAGCCCAUCCAACCGAAAAAAAAAAAACAUCACCACUGCUGUAGCCACAAUCUGCACCAUCACUGCCAUGAUUUGUGCCCCUGCGGCCGUGAUCUGUGCCAUCAAGCCUCCACCGAUGCUCACAGAGAACGAAUGGCUUUACCUAUGAUUUGUAGAGCCUUCGGCGAUCUGGGCCUCCAACGAUUCUGUUAUCACCUACGGCGGCGCAUCUGCUACCACUAAUAUCACAGGAAGCAAUGCCACCCAUAGCCACACCUCACUUGUGUCGUCGCACAGAGGCUGAGCGACAUUGGUAGCGUCACCUGCGUUUAUCCAUUGUGUGUAAAGAGAGAGAUGGGAUUGGGAGAGAGAAUGAGGUGGGGGGCGGGGGAGAGAGAUGGCUGCUGUUUUGCAUAGAAAGAGAGAAGAUAUUGAGAAAUAAU